RNAcentral lists this ribosomal RNA (621 nucleotides) under Mycobacterium tuberculosis complex sp. (ex Procavia capensis) 47. Its description in RNAcentral is "bacterial LSU rRNA". It matches the Rfam family "Bacterial large subunit ribosomal RNA", at positions 2309 to 2925 of the family's 2925-position model. Lineage: Bacteria; Bacillati; Actinomycetota; Actinomycetes; Mycobacteriales; Mycobacteriaceae. The record is from RNAcentral.
CCCAAAGGUUCCCUCAACCUGGACGGCAAUCAGGUGGCGAGUGUAAAUGCACAAGGGAGCUUGACUGCGAGACUUACAAGUCAAGCAGGGACGAAAGUCGGGAUUAGUGAUCCGGCACCCCCGAGUGGAAGGGGUGUCGCUCAACGGAUAAAAGGUACCCCGGGGAUAACAGGCUGAUCUUCCCCAAGAGUCCAUAUCGACGGGAUGGUUUGGCACCUCGAUGUCGGCUCGUCGCAUCCUGGGGCUGGAGCAGGUCCCAAGGGUUGGGCUGUUCGCCCAUUAAAGCGGCACGCGAGCUGGGUUUAGAACGUCGUGAGACAGUUCGGUCUCUAUCCGCCGCGCGCGUCAGAAACUUGAGGAAACCUGUCCCUAGUACGAGAGGACCGGGACGGACGAACCUCUGGUGCACCAGUUGUCCCGCCAGGGGCACCGCUGGAUAGCCACGUUCGGUCAGGAUAACCGCUGAAAGCAUCUAAGCGGGAAACCUUCUCCAAGAUCAGGUUUCUCACCCACUUGGUGGGAUAAGGCCCCCCGCAGAACACGGGUUCAAUAGGUCAGACCUGGAAGCUCAGUAAUGGGUGUAGGGAACUGGUGCUAACCGGCCGAAAACUUACAACACCC